GGGAGCGCCGGUGUUAUUUGUG
This 22-nucleotide non-coding RNA is filed under the name Arabidopsis thaliana (thale cress). The record is from RNAcentral. Lineage: Eukaryota; Viridiplantae; Streptophyta; Magnoliopsida; Brassicales; Brassicaceae.